This 441-nucleotide ribosomal RNA is filed under the name uncultured bacterium. Its description in RNAcentral is "bacterial SSU rRNA". It matches the Rfam family "Bacterial small subunit ribosomal RNA", at positions 354 to 796 of the family's 1533-position model. The record is from RNAcentral.
GUGAGGAAUAUUGCUCAAUGGGCGAAAGCCUGAAGCAGCGACGCCGCGUGAGGGAUGAAAUCCGUUAGGAUGUAAACCUCUUUUGCAGGGGAUGAAUGUCCCGUUUCACGGGAUUGACCGUACCCUGCGAAUAAGCACCGGCCAACUACGUGCCAGCAGCCGCGGUAAUACGUAGGGUGCAAGCGUUGUCCGGAAUUACUGGGUGUAAAGGGUCCGCAGGCGGGUAAGCAAGUCGGUGGUGAAAUCCUGCAGCUCAACUGCAGAACUGCCUCCGAUACUGUUUAUCUUGAGUACGAGAGAGGAUGAUGGAAUUCAUGGUGUAGCGGUGAAAUGCGUAGAGAUCAUGAAGAACACCGGUUGCGAAGGCGAUCAUCUGGCUCGUUACUGACGCUCAGGGACGAAAGCGUGGGGAGCAAACAGGAUUAGAAACCCCAGUAGUCC